GAUGAACGCUGGCGGCGUGCCUAAUACAUGCAAGUCGAGCGAACAGACGAGGAGCUUGCUCCUUUGACGUUAGCGGCGGACGGGUGAGUAACACGUAGGUAACCUACCUAUAAGACUGGGAUAACUUCGGGAAACCGGAGCUAAUACCGGAUAAUAUUUCGAACCGCAUGGUUCGAUAGUGAAAGAUGGCUUUGCUAUCACUUAUAGAUGGACCUGCGCCGUAUUAGCUAGUUGGUAAGGUAACGGCUUACCAAGGCAACGAUACGUAGCCGACCUGAGAGGGUGAUCGGCCACACUGGAACUGAGACACGGUCCAGACUCCUACGGGAGGCAGCAGUAGGGAAUCUUCCGCAAUGGGCGAAAGCCUGACGGAGCAACGCCGCGUGAGUGAUGAAGGUCUUCGGAUCGUAAAACUCUGUUAUUAGGGAAGAACAAACGUGUAAGUAACUGUGCACGUCUUGACGGUACCUAAUCAGAAAGCCACGGCUAACUACGUGCCAGCAGCCGCGGUAAUA
This 515-nucleotide ribosomal RNA is filed under the name uncultured Staphylococcus sp. RNAcentral describes it as "bacterial SSU rRNA". It matches the Rfam family "Bacterial small subunit ribosomal RNA", at positions 28 to 525 of the family's 1533-position model. Lineage: Bacteria; Bacillati; Bacillota; Bacilli; Caryophanales; Staphylococcaceae. The record is from RNAcentral.